CGCCCUUAGAGUUUGAUCCUGGCUCAGAAUGAACGUUGGCGGCGUGGAUUAGGCAUGCAAGUCGUACGGGCCGCAAGGCCAGUGGCGCAAGGGUGAGUAAGGCGACGGUAACCAACCCCAUGACUGGGUAUAGCCGCGGGAAACUGCGGGUAAUCCCCAGCGAUGUCGAUCGAGGGCAUCCUUGGUCGACCAAAGCUCCGGCGUCGUGGGACGGGCUGUCGUGGUAUUAGGUUGUUGGCGGGGUAACGGCCCACCAAGCCUGCGAUGCCUACCGGGCGUGCGAGCGUGGCCCGGCACACUGGGACUGAGACACUGCCCAGACUCCUACGGGAGGCUGCAGUCGAGAAUCUUCGGCAAUGGGCGCAAGCCUGACCGAGCGACGCCGCGUGGAGGAUGAAGGCCUUCGGGUUGUAAACUCCUGUCGAGGGGGAAGAAGGGUCGAAAGGCCUUGACUGAUCCCUGGAGGAAGCACGGGCUAAGUUCGUGCCAGCAGCCGCGGUAAGACGAACCGUGCGAACGUUAUUCGGAAUCACUGGGCUUAAAGCGCGUGUAGGCGGGACGGCACGUCGGUCGCUGAAAUCCCCCGGCUCAACCGGGGGAACGGGCGCCGAUACGACCGUCCUGGAGGGACGUAGGGGGACCUGGAACUUCCGGUGGAGCGGUGAAAUGCGUUGAGAUCGGAAGGAACGCCCGUGGCGAAAGCGAGUCCUGGACGUUUUCUGACGCUGAGACGCGAAAGCCAGGGGAGCGAACGGGAUAGAUACC
Molecule: ribosomal RNA, 765 nt
Filed under: uncultured bacterium
Lineage: Bacteria
Description: bacterial SSU rRNA
Rfam family: Bacterial small subunit ribosomal RNA
Source: RNAcentral